This 255-nucleotide ribosomal RNA is filed under the name uncultured bacterium. Its description in RNAcentral is "partial 16S ribosomal RNA". It matches the Rfam family "Bacterial small subunit ribosomal RNA", at positions 524 to 777 of the family's 1533-position model. The record is from RNAcentral.
UACGUAGGGUGCAAGCGUUAAUCGGAAUUACUGGGCGUAAAGCGUGCGCAGGCGGUUUUGUAAGUCUGUCGUGAAAGCCCCGGGCUCAACCUGGGAAUUGCGAUGGAGACUGCAAGGCUUGAAUCUGGCAGAGGGGGGUAGAAUUCCACGUGUAGCAGUGAAAUGCGUAGAUAUGUGGAGGAAUACCGAUGGCGAAGGCAGCCCCCUGGGAUAACACUGACGCCUCAUGCACGAAAGCGUGGGGAGCAAACAGGA